GACGAACGCUGGCGGCGUGCUUAACACAUGCAAGUCGAGCGGUAAGGCCCUUUCGGGGUACGACGAGCGGCGAACGGGUGAGUAACAACGUGGGUGACCUGCCCUUAGCUCUGGGAUAAGCCUGGGAAACUGGGUCUAAUACCGGAUAUGACUCCAUGACGCAUGUUGUGGGGUGGAAAGCCUUGUGCGGCUAGGGAUGGGCCCGCGGCCUAUCAGCUUGUUGGUGGGGUGAUGGCCUACCAAGGCGACGACGGGUAGCCGGCCUGAGAGGGCGACCGGCCACACUGGGACUGAGACACGGCCCAGACUCCUACGGGAGGCAGCAGUGGGGAAUCUUGCGCAAUGGGCGAAAGCCUGACGCAGCGACGCCGCGUGAGGGAUGACGGCCUU
This 390-nucleotide ribosomal RNA is filed under the name uncultured bacterium. Its description in RNAcentral is "bacterial SSU rRNA". It matches the Rfam family "Bacterial small subunit ribosomal RNA", at positions 28 to 418 of the family's 1533-position model. The record is from RNAcentral.